Molecule: long non-coding RNA, 698 nt
Filed under: Rattus norvegicus (Norway rat)
Lineage: Eukaryota; Metazoa; Chordata; Mammalia; Rodentia; Muridae
Description: long non-coding RNA NONRATT010868
Source: RNAcentral
GCAACCCUCCUGCCUUAGCCUCUGCUGUGUUGUGGUCAUUGUGUGACCCACUAUGCCCUUAGGGUAACUUUUUUGGUAUUUUAUGGUUUAUUCAUGGCACGGUACAGGUUAGAAACGACAUCUUUCAACCUAUUGCUACAAUUAAAGACCACACAGCAAGCCAGGUGUGGCACACACAGGAAGACUGUUUUGAGUUUGAGGCCAGCCAGGGCUACAUAUCUACCAAGCUAUCCUGGGCUACAUUUGACUCUCAGAACAUUGAAAGAAGGAGAAGAAGAAACAAGACUUACCCAGCACUCUGAGCCUGUGGCUGUAGACGAGAAGAGUUCAAAUGAUCCAGGACCCACGAAGCAAGCAGCAAAGCUCCCAGGCUAGCUCACCCUGUGCCCUUUGGAUUUUACUCUUGCCUCCACAGACUUCCCGUCUGGGUCUCCAGAGAGAUCGGAGAAGAGUGCAGCUGGUAGGGAAAGUGUGGCUUGGAAGCCCCAGAGUGAAACAGUGUUGGACCUCUGGAGGAUAAAGGAUUGUGGGUAUAAGAGAUAGAAAACAAGAGUGAGAACCCAUCUGAGAAGGAAGUGGCACCAGGAAGUGUCAGACUGAGCCAAUGAAAUGGAAAACCUGGAGGCCUCUGUGAUUAGCCUGAGCGGGCAAUCGGGUUUGCUGCUUCCUUCCUUCUCUUGCCUUUCUCGCUUCCCACC